CCUACGGGUGGCAGCAGUGAGGAAUAUUGGUCAAUGGGCGCGAGCCUGAACCAGCCAAGUCGCGUGAGGGAAGACGGUCCUCUGGAUUGUAAACCCCUUUUGUCGGGGAGCAAAAGACGCCACGCGUGGCGUUCCGAGAGUACCCGAAGAAAAAGCAUCGGUUAACUCCGUGCCAGCCGCCGCGGUAAUACGGGGGAUGCGAGCGUUAUCCGGAUUUGUUGGGUUUAAAGGGUGCGCAGGGGGAAGAUCAAGUCAGCGGUAAAAUUGAGAGGCUCAACCUCUUCGAGACGUUGAAACUGGUUUUCUUGAGUGAGUGAGAGGUAUGCGGAAUGCGUGGUGUAGCGGUGAAAUGCGUAGAUAUCACGAAGAACUCCGAUUGCGAAGGCAGCAUACCGGCGCUCAACUGACGCUCAUGCGCGAAAGUGUGGGUAUCGAACAGGAUUAGAUACCCCUGUAGUC
RNAcentral lists this ribosomal RNA (459 nucleotides) under uncultured bacterium. RNAcentral describes it as "partial 16S ribosomal RNA". It matches the Rfam family "Bacterial small subunit ribosomal RNA", at positions 338 to 795 of the family's 1533-position model. The record is from RNAcentral.